RNAcentral lists this long non-coding RNA (813 nucleotides) under Callithrix jacchus (white-tufted-ear marmoset). Its description in RNAcentral is "lncRNA (ENSCJAG00000071210.1)". The record is from RNAcentral. Lineage: Eukaryota; Metazoa; Chordata; Mammalia; Primates; Cebidae.
GCGUCCAUGGCUGCUAGGGCGACCCUCUGGCUCAGCGGCCCGGGCAGCUGCGUGUCCCAGCACAACCGUUGGCCCCGCUGCCGAUUUGAAUAGCACAGAGGGCUGCGCGGAUUGGUCGCGCCCACAGUCACGUGACGCCGUAGCCAGCCUCGGGCCGAGUCGGCGGGGGCCGAGGAGGUUCGGCAGUGUCUCCCGGCUCCGGCAGCUAGCGCUGGCCGGGUUGGGCUGGCCUGGGGCCGCUGCGGUUGGGACAGGCUGUGUUUCCCCGGCGCUGCUUCUCCCUCAAGCGGUCCGCGGCGAGAAUCUUCGGCAGUAUUAGCUUAGAAGGCAAAGCAGCCUCAUGGAUAUGUGUCGCAGUUUCUCGCUCUCUCAUCUCUCAGCAGGGGCCAUGAUUCUCUCAAGUGCUAAAAUUUUAACAUCAGUAACUGAGAUAAGCCUCAGUAAAGAUCAGGCUGGAGUACAGUGGUAUGAUCUUGGCUCACUACAACCUCCUCCUGCAGGUUCAAGCAAUUCUCCUGCCUCAAACUCCUGAGUAGCUGGGACUACAGAGUCUUGUUCUGUGGUCCUGGCUGGAGUGCUGUGGCAUGAUCUUGGCUCACUGCAACCUCUGCUGCCCAGGUUCAAGCAAUUCUGCUGCCUCAGCCUCCCUAGUAGCUAGGAUUACAGGUACCUGCCACCGUGACUGGCUAAUUUUUGUAGUUUUAGUAGAGACAGGGUUUCACCAUCUUGGCCAGGCUGGUCUUGAAUUCCUGACCUUGUGAUCCACCCGCCUUGGCCUCCCAAAGUGAUGGGAUUACAGGCAUGAGCCGCUGC